GACGAACGCUGGCGGCGUGCUUAACACAUGCAAGUCGAACGGAAAGGCCCUGCUUUUGUGGGGUGCUCGAGUGGCGAACGGGUGAGUAACACGUGAGUAACCUGCCCUUGACUUUGGGAUAACUUCAGGAAACUGGGGCUAAUACCGGAUAGGAUCUCCUGCUGCAUGGUGGGGGUUGGAAAGUUUCGGCGGUUGGGGAUGGACUCGCGGCUUAUCAGCUUGUUGGUGGGGUAGUGGCUUACCAAGGCUUUGACGGGUAGCCGGCCUGAGAGGGUGACCGGCCACAUUGGGACUGAGAUACGGCCCAGACUCGUACGGGAGGCAGAAGUGGGGAAUAUUGCACAAUGGGCGGAAGCCUGAUGCAGCAACGCCGCGUGCGGGAUGACGGCCUUCGGGUUGUAAACCGAUUUCGCCUGUGACGAAGCGUGAGUGACGGUAAUGGGUAAAGAAGCACCGGCUAACUACGUG
This 468-nucleotide ribosomal RNA is filed under the name uncultured bacterium. RNAcentral's name for it is "partial 16S ribosomal RNA". It matches the Rfam family "Bacterial small subunit ribosomal RNA", at positions 28 to 507 of the family's 1533-position model. The record is from RNAcentral.